Molecule: ribosomal RNA, 253 nt
Filed under: uncultured bacterium
Lineage: Bacteria
Description: partial 16S ribosomal RNA
Rfam family: Bacterial small subunit ribosomal RNA
Source: RNAcentral
UACGGAGGGGGCAAGCGUUGUUCGGAGUCACUGGGCGUAAAGAGCUCGUAGGCGGCAGUGUAAGUCGGGAGUUAAAGGCAACAGCUUAACUGUUGUAAGGCUUUUGAAACUACAUUGCUAGAGUACCAGAGAGGUAAGCGGAAUUUCCUGUGUAGCGGUGAAAUGCGUAGAUAUAGGAAGGAACACCGGUUGCGAAGGCGGCUUACUGGCUGGUAACUGACGCUGAGGAGCGAAAGCGUGGGUAGCAAACAGG